GAUUAACGCUGGCGGCAUGCCUAAUACAUGCAAGUCGAACGGAAGCAGCAAUGCUUUAGUGGCGAACGGGUGAGUAACACGUAGGGAACCUACCUAUACGACGAGGAUAACUACUGGAAACGGUAGCUAAAACUGGGAUAGGAUCAAUUGAGGCAUCUUGAUUGAUUUAAAGAUCCUUCGGGAUUACGUAGAGAUGGCCCUGCGGCGCAUUAGCUAGUUGGUGAGGUAACGGCCACCAAGGCGACGAUGCGUAGCUGAGCUGAGAGGCUAAACAGCCACACUGGGACUGAGACACGGCCCAGACUCCUACGGGAGGCAGCAGUAGGGAAUUUUCGGCAAUGGGGGAAACCCUGACCGAGCAAUGCCGCGUGAACGAUGAAGGUCUCGGAUUGUAAAGUUCUGUGAUUGGGGAAGAAUGGUAUUCUUAGGGAAUGAGGAGUACAUGACGGUACCCGAUUAGAAAGCCCCGGUAACUAUGUGCCAGCAGC
This 488-nucleotide ribosomal RNA is filed under the name uncultured bacterium. RNAcentral describes it as "bacterial SSU rRNA". It matches the Rfam family "Bacterial small subunit ribosomal RNA", at positions 28 to 515 of the family's 1533-position model. The record is from RNAcentral.